Molecule: long non-coding RNA, 537 nt
Filed under: Elaeis guineensis (African oil palm)
Lineage: Eukaryota; Viridiplantae; Streptophyta; Magnoliopsida; Arecales; Arecaceae
Description: long non-coding RNA (EGUI_LNC045007)
Source: RNAcentral
GAGGUAGUCCGAACCGAAAAAUAUUAUCUAAAAGAGCUCGGAGGAGCAGACCUUCCACGACCAUGGAAUUCGAAAAAUAUGCGAAUGUAUUACCAAUAGCUUUGCCUUAAAUAAAAGUUUCAUAUUUGUAUAUUUUUUCUUUUAGCAUGAGCUUAUAACGGCAGGAAGUAACUCCCUCAUACAAUCGAAAUUAAGCGUAUUAGGAACAGGAGGAGAACCUCAUCCUAACAUGAGCAAAGUCGAAGGUCCAGUUACCUAAAGAUCGGAUGGGGGGAGAGGCCCUUGCAACGGUCGUUAUGUACCCCCACAGCCUUGUUAGGAACAGGAGGAGAACCUCGUCCUAACAUGAGCAAAGUCGAAGGUCCGAUUACUUAAAGACCGGAUGGGAGGAGAGGUCGUUGCAACGGCCCUUAUGUGCCCCCACAGCCUUAUUAGGAAUAGGAGAACCUCGUCCUAACAUGAGCAAAGUCGAAGGCUCGGUUACUUAAAGACCGGAUGGGGGGAAAGUCCCUUGCAACGGCCUUUAUGUGCCCCCAC